UACAGUUAAUCCUGACAGUGCCAACGAAGU
This 30-nucleotide non-coding RNA is filed under the name Rattus norvegicus (Norway rat). The record is from RNAcentral. Lineage: Eukaryota; Metazoa; Chordata; Mammalia; Rodentia; Muridae.